ACGGGUGAGGAAUACAUCGGAAUCUGCCUUAUUGUGGGGGAUGACGUAGGGAAACUUACGCUAAUACCGCAUAAGACCGAAAGGUGAAAGUGGGGGACCGCAAGGCCUCACGCGAUAAGAUGAGCCGAUGUCGGAUUAGCUAGUUGGUGAGGUAAUGGCUCACCAAGGCGACGAUCCGUAGCUGGUCUGAGAGGAUGAUCAGCCACACUGGAACUGAGACACGGUCCAGACUCCUACGGGAGGCAGCAGUGGGGAAUAUUGGACAAUGGGCGCAAGCCUGAUCCAGCCAUGCCGCGUGGGUGAAGAAGGCCUUCGGGUUGUAAAGCCCUUUUGUUGGGGAAGAAAUCGUACGGGGUAAUAUCCCGUGCGGAUGACGGUACCCAAAGAAUAAGCACCGGCUAACUUCGUGCCAGCAGCCGCGGUAAUACGAAGGGUGCAUGCGUUACUCGGAAUUACUGGGCGUAAAGCGUGCGUAGGCGGUUCGUUAAGUCUGUCGUGAAAGCCCUGGGCUCAACCUGGGAAUUGCGAUGGAUACUGGCGAGCUAGAGUACGGUAGAGGAUGGUGGAAUUCCCGGUGUAGCGG
RNAcentral lists this ribosomal RNA (583 nucleotides) under uncultured Dokdonella sp. RNAcentral describes it as "bacterial SSU rRNA". It matches the Rfam family "Bacterial small subunit ribosomal RNA", at positions 102 to 681 of the family's 1533-position model. The record is from RNAcentral. Lineage: Bacteria; Pseudomonadati; Pseudomonadota; Gammaproteobacteria; Lysobacterales; Rhodanobacteraceae.